This 68-nucleotide transfer RNA is filed under the name Cerambycidae sp. 6 KM-2017. Its description in RNAcentral is "tRNA-Ser". Lineage: Eukaryota; Metazoa; Arthropoda; Insecta; Coleoptera; Cerambycidae. The record is from RNAcentral.
AGUUAAUGAACUUGUAUAAGUGUAUAUUUUGAAAAUAUAAUAAAGAGACCAUAAUUCUCUAUUAACUU